Molecule: ribosomal RNA, 915 nt
Filed under: uncultured bacterium
Lineage: Bacteria
Description: bacterial SSU rRNA
Rfam family: Bacterial small subunit ribosomal RNA
Source: RNAcentral
UUGUUGGUAAGGUAAAAGCUUACCAAGGCUUCGAUCAGUAGCUGGUCUGAGAGGACGACCAGCCACACUGGGACUGAGACACGGCCCAGACUCCUACGGGAGGCAGCAGUGGGGAAUUUUGGACAAUGGGGGCAACCCUGAUCCAGCCAUGCCGCGUGAGUGAAGAAGGCCUUCGGGUUGUAAAGCUCUUUCAGCCGGAACGAAACGGUUACGGUUAACACCCGUGACUACUGACGGUACCGGAAGAAGAAGCACCGGCUAACUACGUGCCAGCAGCCGCGGUAAUACGUAGGGUGCGAGCGUUAAUCGGAAUUACUGGGCGUAAAGCGUGCGCAGGUGGUUUUGUAAGUCAGAUGUGAAAGCCCCGGGCUCAACCUGGGAACUGCGUUUGAAACUACAAGACUAGAGUGUGGCAGAGGGGGGUGGAAUUCCGCGUGUAGCAGUGAAAUGCGUAGAGAUGUGGAGGAACACCGAUGGCGAAGGCAGCCCCCUGGGUCAACACUGACGCUCAGGCACGAAAGCAUGGGGAGCAAACAGGAUUAGAUACCCUGGUAGUCCAUGCCCUAAACGAUGUCAACUAGUUGUCGGGCCUUUACGGGCUUGGUAACGUAGCUAACGCGUGAAGUUGACCGCCUGGGGAGUACGAUCGCAAGAUUAAAACUCAAAUGAAUUGACGGGGACCCGCACAAGCGGUGGAUUAUGUGGAUUAAUUCGAUGCAACGCGAAAAACCUUACCUACCCUUGACAUGUAUCGAAGCCCGCAGAAAAGCGGGGGUGCCCGAAAGGGAACGAUAACACAGGUGCUGCAUGGCUGUCGUCAGCUCGUGUCGUGAGAUGUUGGGUUAAGUCCCGCAACGAGCGCAACCCUUGUCAUUAAUUGCCAUCAUUAGUUGGGCACUUUAAUGAGACUGCCGG